RNAcentral lists this long non-coding RNA (604 nucleotides) under Pan troglodytes (chimpanzee). RNAcentral's name for it is "lincRNA". The record is from RNAcentral. Lineage: Eukaryota; Metazoa; Chordata; Mammalia; Primates; Hominidae.
UUGUUCACUGUUAUACCCACUCCACUUCCUAGGAAAUGCCUAGAAAUAGAAGGAACUCAGUAAAUACUUCCCGGAACAGAAACCCCAAUCGUUCAUGAAUUCUCAGAGCAUCCCUUUCUGUGAUAAUAGAGUGGAGAAAAACUUCCUGUGGGUCUGCAAUCCUAUCCCCGCACAGAAAGGCUGUCACCAUUUGACCAAAAGGGAGGACCAGGACAGAAGGACCAUAAGUCAAUGGUUUUCUUUAGUGUGCUGCCAGCAGAAUCAGAAUCACCUGGAAGCUGGGGACAUGGAUGGACUUGGAAGCCAUUAUCCACAGGAAACUCAUGCAAGAACAGAAAACCAAACACAGCAUGUUCUCACUUAUGAGUGGGAGCUGAAUGAUGAGAACAUAUGGAUGCAUCAGGGGGAACAACACACACUGGGGCCUGUUGGGGCAUGGGAGGAGGAAGAGCAUCAGGAAUAAUAGCUAAUGGAUUCUGGGCUUAAAACCUAGGUGAUGGGUUGAUCUAUGCAGCAAACCACCAGGGCACACAUUCACCUAUGUAACAAACCUGUACAGCCUGCACAGGUACCCCUGAACUUAAAAUUAAAGUUGAAGUAAAAA